Molecule: ribosomal RNA, 625 nt
Filed under: Baikalogammarus pullus
Lineage: Eukaryota; Metazoa; Arthropoda; Malacostraca; Amphipoda; Baikalogammaridae
Description: bacterial SSU rRNA
Rfam family: Eukaryotic small subunit ribosomal RNA
Source: RNAcentral
UUAGUUGGUGGAGUGAUCUGUCUGGUUAAUUCCGAUAACGAACGAGACUCUCCCCUGCUAACUAGUCGGUUGGAUCUUGAUCAGCGGGUUGCGUGCCGAGUAACUCUCGCUGUGCAUGUGGUGCGUUUCGUUCCUCACGGUUCGUUGCGUGCUGUUGUGUGGCGUUGGAUGCCUUGGAUCACACUGCACCCCAAGUCCGCCGCUUAUGCUAUAACUCUUCUUAGAGGGAUUCACGGCACUGAAGCCGUAAGAGACUGAGAGCAAUAACAGGUCUGUGAUGCCCUUAGAUGCUCUGGGCCGCACGCGCGCUACAAUGCCGGGCACAGCAGGUGUUUCUCCUGCUCCGACAGGAGCGGGUAACCCUCUGAAAGCCAGUGUUCUUGCAAGUGCUUCCUCCCUCGUGGAGUUGCACAGAGGCGUGCUUGGGCCUGGGACUUGCAAUUCUUUCCCACCAACGAGGAAUGCCUAGUAGCGGCGGGUCACUGAGCCCGCCGUGACUCAGUCCCUGCCCUUUGUACACACCGCCCGUCGCUACUACCGAUUGGGUGUACCAGUGAGAGCCUUGGACUGGCGUCCGUUGUUGCUCGCAAGAGUGACAAGCGGGUCCGACGGAAAGAGGUCCGAA